CUGAUUUGGUUGGCUACUCCACUCAUCUCUCCCUUCCUCUCCUUGUAUUAUGAUGGAGAUGCCAUUUCGUUGGAAUGCAGAAAGACUACAUGUCAGCUCAUUCAGAGAUCUAAAGGGGAAAGCAAGAUUGGGAACCACUGGCCUGCAGCUCUCUCUCAAGUGAAAAGCAACAUCAAGUCACAGGAUGCUGCAGGGAGGAAAAGUAUUGGUCAAGGACAUGAAAAAUCACCGUCCAGUCUCUAGUGCAUUGUUCAUCCUAUUAAUAAACAUCUGGCAAACACAAGACACGAGUGACAAAAUUAUUCAGACUGAAUAUGGAAUAAGACUAAUCGUUACUUGUAAAAAUCCUG
RNAcentral lists this long non-coding RNA (350 nucleotides) under Gopherus agassizii (Agassiz's desert tortoise). Its description in RNAcentral is "lncRNA (ENSGAGG00000000459.1)". The record is from RNAcentral. Lineage: Eukaryota; Metazoa; Chordata; Testudines; Testudinidae.